RNAcentral lists this ribosomal RNA (432 nucleotides) under Triticum aestivum (bread wheat). RNAcentral describes it as "partial small subunit ribosomal RNA". The record is from RNAcentral. Lineage: Eukaryota; Viridiplantae; Streptophyta; Magnoliopsida; Poales; Poaceae.
AUGGCAGCGAAAGAAAACAAAAAACAUGGCGCCGAGGGCCAAGACCAAGCAGAGCUUCCGUGUUGCGCUCCUGACUGUGAAGAGGACCAAGCAGAGCUCCCGUGUUGUGCUCCUGACUGUGAAGAGGGCCAAGCAGAGCUCCUGUGUUGUGCUUCUGACUGUGAAGAGGGUGGUCUCUCUGAGCUAGAAGAGUCGACAGCAAGACCGACAGAACCUGGUGAAGAAGAACCCGAAGCUGCAAGUAGACGCUUAAGUCGCACAAUAUCCUGCUCAGUCAGGGACACUGCUGAAGGGGUCGGAAUAGAAGCACAAGUCCCUAAAGAAGAUAUGCACCCUGGCGCAUGUGCCGCUUCUUCAGGAAGCACUCAGACUCGGGAUGACCAUCCUUGUUGCAGUAGCCGCAGUGAGAACGAGAGCGGCUCUCACCACUAG